Molecule: long non-coding RNA, 2456 nt
Filed under: Nicotiana tabacum (common tobacco)
Lineage: Eukaryota; Viridiplantae; Streptophyta; Magnoliopsida; Solanales; Solanaceae
Description: long non-coding RNA (NTAB_LNC011181)
Source: RNAcentral
CUUGCUCGAAUUAUUCUCUUCAUAUAUUUUGCAUUCAUGGUAUCACCUGUAUUGUACUUAAUGUUAAAAUGUACCUUCCAUUUUGGGGGAAAAAAAUAUUAAAGAAAAAUAUCAGACAUGUAUAUCAAUAUCAAUUUAUAAUUAGAAAUUGAAUUGUGCAAUCUUUAGAAAACAAUAAGACCAUAUUGCCCCAUAAGCAAUUUAUCUACGAAGAAAACCAGUAGAAAAUGUGUACUAACUAGUGAUAAAUUUUAAAAAAUUCAUGAGUUUCGUAGUCCACUUUAACUUCUUUGUGCAGCGGAGACUGAGUAGUUGGGAUUACUGCGAUUUAAUCGGCCAUUAUUAAUAAUAUAAUAUAGCUCUUAUUUGAUUCAAAGGAUUCCUUCCACUUUUUGACGUAAAUACUGAAAAGUAUUACUUGGAUCUUUGUCCCCCUAUUAAAUAUUUAACCAAUAGUCGUGUCAUUAAGAACAGCAAUAUAAAAGAAUAUAGUCUUCACACUUUAGAAUUUCUUUAAUAUGAUAAAGCUUUGAUUAGUAAUAGGAUUCUAAUUAUCUGUCUCAGAAAUUCGGCAUCCUAGAGGUAUUGAACAUGCUGACCUAUAUUAUUCCUCAUAAUAUGCUAAUUCUAAAAUGCAUAAAUUAAAGAAAGGAACACAUGAUACAAUGCCUAUGGGAAUUUCGGAAGAGGCUGACACUUUUUUUUUAACUUUAUAGUUCCAUCAUUAUGACGGAGGAGUUAGGCGUGAUUCCAACCUGUAUAUAUAUAUGAAAAAUAAUAAUUACACGGAGGAGGACAUAGGCCUUGGCCUCCAAGACAGUAUGUGUCCACCCCUUUUUACCCCUCAAAAGAUAGAUAUAUGUUGUGUAUUGUGGGUUAAAGAAUUUUUCCAAUUAAUGUGAUAAAUUUGAAAUAGGGAUUAUUUUAUUUAUAGAGUCGCCACUUGGAAUUGAUUUUUGUCGGUGUUCCAAGUCACCUUUUAUUUGAAUCUCUAUUCAAAGGAAGGUUUGACUCUAUUAUUAUUGGUCUGCGAAACAAGUCUGGUAAGGAAUUCUGUUGACCGGGGAGAAGGUGUAAGGCAUUCCCCGAGUCUCGUGGUUCUAGCACGGUCGCUUUAUUGACUUUGGCUUAAAAUAAUUUUGGAUAAACUGUACUUUAUUUGAUUUUUAUGCCCUUUCUAUAUCCGCUUUUACUAAUUAAAAAAAUUAAUAAAAAUAUUUGAAUAAUAUUAAAUUGCCAAAAACGCGCCUACUAGUUGCCUAGCGUUAAAAAAAAAUUAUGAAGAAGUGCUUAAACUUUUUUUUUUUACUAAUACUUAUUCGACAAAAAAAUUCUAUUAAAUAUAUAUAUAUAUAUUAAUGCUGGACAUUAAAUCUAGGUAAGUUAUUGCUAAACUUUCAUGUUGGGUCGCUUAUUUUAUUUAACAAAAGAUAAAUUAUUAAUUUUAAAGAAAAACCAUCUUACUUUCUAUUAUCAUCGGGCCUGAAAAUUUUAGCUUAUUUGACCCAUGUUGCUUUAAAACCUCAAUGACCAAACCAACACAAAAUGACAAAAUAUAGAGUAUUCUUCUAAGCCUAAAUUUCUUCUUCAUGUUAAUGUCCAAACUAAAAUUGUUUUUCCCAAGCGAGACUUACAUGCUAAUUAUUAUAUUUGCUCUUUAUCUCCCUAAUCAAUUAUUUCUUAAGGACUAAUAUAAUAUUUCUAACUAAUUAUACAGGAACCUUAAAAGUAAUUCACAUAAAAGAUCACAAACUAAACAAGCAUGGUUAAAAAUGAAGUAUUUAUCUUUUCCUUAAACUAAGUAAACUUAACAGAAUACAAUUUCAAUCACAUACAUAAAGGAGAAAGGUUAAUUUAACUAAUUUUUAAAAGAUUUACAUGAUAAUAAGACUAAUAUAACAUUUAUCCUGAAGCAAUAAAUAAUCGGAUCUAACAUGUACCGUCAAUUUAGACCGGGAUCAAAUCCUUCUUAUUAUCACAAAGAAUCUGCAAUAUAAGAAUUUGAAAGUUAUCUGAUUUGUAGAAUAAUAAAUUACAGCAGUGCAUCAACAAAAAUGUAGCAGCAAAAUGCAGCAGCAACAACAACAACUCAAAUGUUAAGAACAACCCAAAAAACUCAAUAGAGAUGCUUGAAACUAGUAGCUAUCAACUUCACAAAAUGCCUAAGGGAUCUUUUUUUUUUUUUCCAAAAGUUCUUGCACUCAAAUAAUAAUCACAAAGCUCUUAAAUUUCAGUUGCUAAAGGAUCCUAUAGCUACUGAUUUUUCUCUCUUUUUGUGUGUAUAUCUCUCUGUAAUGUCAGAUAGAGUGUCCUCCUUCUUGAAGGUGGUUUGGGUUAUUGAUAUAGAGAAUAAAAAUAGGAGAGUCCGAAAAAUCCGCGAAGCUACGGUCCAAGAAUUUUUUUUUUAGUUGCUCCAUUCUCUCCUUCUCCUAUUGCCUUUUUUCACCUUUUCAAAC